CAGUCGCCACGGUAAUACGUAGGUGGCAAGCGUUGUCCGGAAUUAUUGGGCGUAAAGGGCUCGCAGGCGGUUUCUUAAGUCUGAUGUGAAAGCCCCCGGCUCAACCGGGGAGGGUCAUUGGAAACUGGGAAACUUGAGUGCAGAAGAGGAGAGUGGAAUUCCACGUGUAGCGGUGAAAUGCGUAGAUAUGCGGAGGAACACCGAUGGCGAAGGCGACUCUCUGGUCUGUAACUGACGCUGAGGAGCGAAAGCGUGGGGAGCGAACAGGAUUAGAUACCCCUGUAGUCCCUGUCUCUUAUAC
This 301-nucleotide ribosomal RNA is filed under the name uncultured bacterium. RNAcentral describes it as "partial 16S ribosomal RNA". It matches the Rfam family "Bacterial small subunit ribosomal RNA", at positions 509 to 807 of the family's 1533-position model. The record is from RNAcentral.